AGUGAACGCUGGCGGUAGGCCUAACACAUGCAAGUCGAACGGCAGCACAGUAAGAGCUUGCUCUUACGGGUGGCGAGUGGCGGACGGUUGAGGAAUACAUCGGAAUCUACUUUUUCGUGGGGGAUAACGUAGGGAAACUUACGCUAAUACCGCAUACGACCUACGGGUGAAAGCAGGGGAUCUUCGGACCUUGCGCGAUUGAAUGAGCCGAUGUCGGAUUAGCUAGUUGGCGGGGUAAAGGCCCACCAAGGCGACGAUCCGUAGCUGGUCUGAGAGGAUGAUCAGCCACACUGGAACUGAGACACGGUCCAGACUCCUACGGGAGGCAGCAGUGGGGAAUAUUGGACCAUGGGCGCAAGCCUGAUCCAGCCAUACCGCGUGGGUGAAGAAGGCCUUCGGGUUGUAAAGCCCUUUUGUUGGGAAAGAAAAGCAGCAGGUUAAUACCCCGCUGUUCUGACGGUACCCAAAGAAUAAGCACCGGCUAACUUCGU
RNAcentral lists this ribosomal RNA (491 nucleotides) under uncultured bacterium. RNAcentral's name for it is "partial 16S ribosomal RNA". It matches the Rfam family "Bacterial small subunit ribosomal RNA", at positions 29 to 506 of the family's 1533-position model. The record is from RNAcentral.